Molecule: ribosomal RNA, 533 nt
Filed under: uncultured marine eukaryote
Lineage: Eukaryota
Description: SSU rRNA
Rfam family: Eukaryotic small subunit ribosomal RNA
Source: RNAcentral
UUAAAAAGCUCGUAGUUGGAUCAAGAGUCGGACAGUGCACGGUGGCCCUGUUUGUCACGGUGGUUCCGAUCACCGUGGCGGCAGCGGAACAACCCCGUGCGCCAAACUGUCCGCUCUAACAGACCGAAGCGGUUCCCUGUGAGUAGGCUCCUUAAUUGGGGCUGAAAGCGCUUACGCAUCAACCAUAUGCAUACGGGACGUCGGUCAACGUUACUGUGAACAAACCAGCGUGUCCAAAACAGGCUUUCGCCUGAAUGUUCGAGCAUGGAAUAACAAGGGAUCGAUUCUCUCGGUUCUUUUUGUUGGUUUUUAACCCGAGAAGGAGUAAUUCAGGCCACGGUGUCUGAGUUGGGUUCCCCUUCACCUCGGUGGAGGCCCCAAUUAGGCCGUGUCCUUACGGGGUCAAUAGGGACUGACGGGGUUGUACGUACUUCCACGUCAGAGGUGAAAUUCUUAGAUCGUGGGAAGACGAACUUCUGCGAAAGCAUUCGACAAGAAUGUCUUCAUUAAUCAAGAACGAGAGUGUGGGGAUC